Molecule: long non-coding RNA, 1793 nt
Organism: Sorghum bicolor (sorghum)
Lineage: Eukaryota; Viridiplantae; Streptophyta; Magnoliopsida; Poales; Poaceae
Exons: 2
Source: RefSeq, a predicted model, not a curated record
AGGGUGGUGAGAAUCAGGGGUAAUAGAAGUGCCAAAUUUACGCCUAAUCUCAGCUUCAAGCACACGGCCUGGUCUAGUAUUCAGACCAGGGAGGAGUAUGGAUGUAGAAAUCACAUUGUGUUGAGAUCUGGCGAGGCGACGUUGGAGACAGUCGAAGAGGCGAUCUUCAGAUUUAGAUUCUCCGCAAAGAAGAUUGCCGGCCGGUAGAGGUGGAGCGAGGUGCAGCGAGCGACGAGUACAAAGGGAGGCGAAGAAGACAACCACGGCGGCGGUGCGGCGUCACCUCUCCCCCGCGGCGGGAUCCUUCCGAGGGGACAGGGAACGUACAAGCGGCGAGUACGGAGAGGGGUUUAUAAACGUGGUUAAAGUAGUGGAGGCUAACUGGAUGUUCCCGUAGUGCAAACAGUGCCAAAGGGCCUUGCUGUCAGAAUAUCAAUGGUCUUAUAAUAAAUCAUUUUAACUAAACAGGUAAGGUUAUUGCCCCCAUGUUUCAUUUGAGAGUUUGCUGGUUUACUGAUAUUUACUUUUGUCUCAACCUAGAUACCUUUCCAGCACUUCAGUUAAUCCUGAUAUACAUGAAACUAAAGAAGAAUAAAUCUAACCUCAGAUAACCCAGCAGCAAGGCAAACACGAUGGUUGUCUUGACUCUUGACCAAAAUCAUGAGCAUAAAUGGACAACACUAGUUCCACUAUGUUGUGUAAAAAAGCAAUGGGCUCCAUUACCACACAUCUGAAAGCCAAAAAUAAAUAAUUGAUCAACAUAUAGCUAGUGCACUGAAUCAUUUCUGAUUGUCCACAGGAAAAAAAAAGUCUACUACUAAAAGCCUCACGCGUAAUCGUCCACACUGGGUCAGCAUACUACUAAAAGACAGAUGAUUCUUCACUCUACUUGAAAGUUGGUAGAGCAAAAAGGAAUCUGCACAUCUGAAAUAGAAAAAGGAACAGUAAAAAUUUGCUUGCAUAUGCAGUUUCAAAUGUAUAAAUCUCAUAAGCACACAUUUUUCAAGUAGGGAAAUGACUCAUAAUUACCCACAACUUUUGCGUACAUUUUCCAUAUCUGAAGUCAUUUUGAUCUUUGGCUGCAACUAAAAUUCAGAAACUACCACAAAUGCAGAAAGGAACCUUAGCAAAGUCAAAUAGUUAAUCCAAGUUUGUAAAAUUUCUCUGACCUGUGUUUUGGCACCUGACACUAAAAUUUCUUAUGUAAAAUAAAGAACUUCACUUAUGUAAAAUAAAGAUCUUUUGAGUAGCACAUAAGGACAAUACCAUGUAACCAUACAUAUUGCCAUAUUGGUGGUUGGAAUAUAGGCAUAUAGCCCAGCUUAUGAAAAAAACAUCCCUUCUCAGCCAAGAAAUAGGGUUGCACCUCAAGAAAAAAAAGGCUACUAUUGAUGGCUGUAAAGUGGUGUUUCAAAAUUGCUUCAAACCUGAUUGCAUGCCACGCGCAACACAACCAUGACCACAGUUGAACUUUGUUAAGGAUGUCGGGACCUAGGGUAGAUGGCCCUCGGCUACAGAGCUCGUAGCCUUGUUCCGUCGUCGCCGGCGAGGUUUUGCCCCUCUGCCGUCGGUUUGUUUGGAGAAGAGAGAGAAUAAUAGAUUGAUAAUAUAUUGCUUAAUUCUAACAUGUCCCGUGAUUACAAAAUAAAUUGUCCAUGGCUAAAAACUGAAAAUAACAAACUUAAGGAAACAAACUCCUAGAGUUAAUCGUAGCCACUAAUCGCGCCUGCCUCCUGGGACGCGCUGAUCGUGCCCAGGCUGUUAGCCGCGCACUGGGACGCCCUGAUCGCGCC